GUGCUCCCUUCAGCAGCACAUAUACUAAACCUGCAACGGUACAGAGAAGAUUAGAAGAUCAUUGCUAAAUGAUCAUCUGUUACUUUGAAACCAAAACACAAAGAUGACAGGCAAAUUCAUGAAACUUUCCAUAUUUUU
Molecule: small nuclear RNA, 138 nt
Filed under: Marmota monax (woodchuck)
Lineage: Eukaryota; Metazoa; Chordata; Mammalia; Rodentia; Sciuridae
Source: RNAcentral